This 45-nucleotide non-coding RNA is filed under the name Schistosoma mattheei. The record is from RNAcentral. Lineage: Eukaryota; Metazoa; Platyhelminthes; Trematoda; Strigeidida; Schistosomatidae.
AUCCAGCUGACGAGUCGCGAAUGAAACGAAACGCGCGUCCGGGAU